RNAcentral lists this ribosomal RNA (667 nucleotides) under uncultured bacterium. Its description in RNAcentral is "bacterial SSU rRNA". It matches the Rfam family "Bacterial small subunit ribosomal RNA", at positions 9 to 691 of the family's 1533-position model. The record is from RNAcentral.
GAGUUUGAUCCUGGCUCAGGACGAACGCUGGCGGCACGCCUAACACAUGCAAGUCGAACGGAGAUAUGAAGAUUUAUCGGAAUAUCUUAGUGGCGGACGGGUGAGUAACACGUGAGCAACCUGCCUUUGAGAGUGGAAUAGCUUCUGGAAACGGAUGGUAAUGCCUCAUAACAUACAAGAAUCGCAUGGUUUUUGUAUCAAAGAUUUAUCGCUCAAAGAUGGGCUCGCGUCUGAUUAGAUAGUUGGUGGGGUAACGGCUCACCAAGUCGACGAUCAGUAGCCGGACUGAGAGGUUGAACGGCCACAUUGGGACUGAGACACGGCCCAGACUCCUACGGGAGGCAGCAGUGGGGAAUAUUGCACAAUGGGGGAAACCCUGAUGCAGCGAUGCCGCGUGGAGGAAGAAGGUUUUCGGAUUGUAAACUCCUGUCUUAGGGGACGAAAAUGACGGUACUUUAGGAGGAAGCUCCGGCUAACUACGUGCCAGCAGCCGCGGUAAUACGUAGGGAGCGAGCGUUGUCCGGAAUUACUGGGUGUAAAGGGAGCGUAGGCGGGAUUUUAAGUCAGAUGUGAAAUACGUGGGCUCAACCUACGGGCUGCAUUUGAAACUGAAAUUCUUGAGUGAAGUAGAGGCAAGCGGAAUUCCUGGUGUAGCGGUGAAAUGCGU